AUGCACGCUGGCGGCGUGCCUAAUACCUGCAAGUCGAGCGAACGGACGAGAAGCUUGCUUCUCUGAUGUUAGCGGCGGACGGAUGAGUAACACGUGGAUAACCUACCUAUAAGACUGGGAUAACUUCGGGAAACCGGAGCUAAUACCGGAUAAUAUUUUGAACCGCAUGGUUCAAAAGUGAAAGACGGUCUUGCUGUCACUUAUAGAUGGAUCCGCGCUGCAUUAGCUAGUUGGUAAGGUAACGGCUUACCAAGGCAACGAUGCAUAGCCGACCUGAGAGGGUGAUCGGCCACACUGGAACUGAGACACGGUCCAGACUCCUACGGGAGGCAGCAGUAGGGAAUCUUCCGCAAUGGGCGAAAGCCUGACGGAGCAACGCCGCGUGAGUGAUGAAGGUCUUCGGAUCGUAAAACUCUGUUAUUAGGGAAGAACAUAUGUGUAAGUAACUGUGCACAUCUUGACGGUACCUAAUCAGAAAGCCACGGCUAACUACGUG
Molecule: ribosomal RNA, 496 nt
Filed under: uncultured bacterium
Lineage: Bacteria
Description: partial 16S ribosomal RNA
Rfam family: Bacterial small subunit ribosomal RNA
Source: RNAcentral